UAAAUGUACUUACUCGAUAAUAUUAAAUAGUUUAGGAACGAAGUCAAAAGAUGUUCGUCGCCACUUCGUUGCUAUGGUUGAAAUGCAAUAGAACGAUAACUUCCGGUAGGUUUUCCCUGUGCAACGGACCGGCAAGAAACACAGGCGGUAACCUUUCGUUCCGCUUCUCAAAUUCAGAUCCAAAACGACUGGAAACUGUCUGGCACGCUGUUAAUUUGGCAACCCCACCACAUGAUGCAAGCUGUAUAUGAGACCUUCGUUUGAACAUUAUCUUCAGAAAAACAGAUUUGUCUUAACCUGGGAGCCCGACAGCAUGCGGACACUCUUCAGCCGGAGGAUCAUGAGGCCGUAGCAGACGGUGAUGAUGAGGACGGGCAUGAUGAAGGCAAAGAUGAACACGCAGAUCUUCAGCAGAGUGUCCCAAUACCAGGGAGGGUGGGGGAAUAUCAGCUUGCAGUCAACAAUGCUUGAGGCUGCUGCACAGGAGAUACUUGAGAGCGAUUUGCCGAGAGGAGCGUGUCUCGUGUGCAGCAGUUUGAGCUAUGGGGGUUUAGCCUGUUGCCAUGAUGUCUAUCAUCUUUGUUUCUCUUUCCGUCUGUCUGCUGGGCACCGACUCAGCAGCUCCUGUUCUUCAGAGGCAGACCCUUUAGUGUUAAUUAGGAAAAGAGAAGAGGCAACAACGGCCAAAUAAACAUCUGGCGAUGUACUCAAAUGUGUACGGCUGAGUGGCUUGCAUUGUUUUGAUAACUGCAGACUAAUUAGACAAAAGCAAAGACAAAAGUUAUCAAAAAAACUGCCAUGUACUCAGAUGUUUGUCUUGUUCUGUUAGCUUUUAGCUGUUAGCCUCACACACCCUCCUAAACAGCCAUUCAUUGACCUAUAAAACAGUCACAAAAAUAUGUUUGUAACUUGUGAUACACUGCGACCAUGAAUGUUCCUAAAGAUAGUAAUAAAUCAGCACCAAAUAUAUAUAUAAAUAGUCCAGUCGUAUGUGAAUAAGUCUUGGACAAACACAGAGAUGCACACACACUUAUACACUUACUUACACAACUACUCACACACUUAAU
Long non-coding RNA from Eleginops maclovinus (Patagonian blennie), 1067 nucleotides. RefSeq lists it as uncharacterized. Lineage: Eukaryota; Metazoa; Chordata; Actinopteri; Perciformes; Eleginopidae. The transcript has 5 exons. The record is from RefSeq and is a predicted model, not a curated record.